This 407-nucleotide ribosomal RNA is filed under the name uncultured bacterium. RNAcentral's name for it is "bacterial SSU rRNA". It matches the Rfam family "Bacterial small subunit ribosomal RNA", at positions 30 to 424 of the family's 1533-position model. The record is from RNAcentral.
AGCGAACGUUAGCGGCGCGCCUAACACAUGCAAGUCGCACGAGAAACGGAGCAAUCCGCGGUACAGUGGCGCACGGGUGAGUAACACGUGGAUGACCUUCCCUGGAGUGGUGGAUAACCUGCCGAAAGGCGGGCUAAUACAGCAUGGGACCACGACGCUUUGGCGAUGUGGUGAAAGCGGGGCCUCUAUAUAUAAGCUCGCGCUCCGGGACGGGUCCGCGUCCCAUCAGCUAGUUGGUGAGGUAACGGCUCACCAAGGCAACGACGGGUAGCUGGUCUGAGAGGAUGGCCAGCCACACUGGAACUGAGACACGGUCCAGACUCCUACGGGAGGCAGCAGUGGGGAAUCUUGCGCAAUGGGCGAAAGCCUGACGCAGCGACGCCGCGUGGGCGAAGAAGGCCUCGGUU